Atta colombica is the source of this 73-nucleotide transfer RNA. It matches the Rfam family "tRNA". From Rfam's summary of the family: Transfer RNA (tRNA) molecules are approximately 80 nucleotides in length. Their secondary structure includes four short double-helical elements and three loops (D, anti-codon, and T loops). The record is from Rfam. Lineage: Eukaryota; Metazoa; Arthropoda; Insecta; Hymenoptera; Formicidae.
ACCUUGAUGGUCUAAUGGCUUAGGAUGUUUGUAUGGAAUACAAGAGAUCCGGGUUCAAGUCCCGACCGAGAUA